CCUACGGGAGGCAGCAGUAAGGAAUAUUGGACAAUGGGCGCAAGCCUGAUCCAGCCAUGCCGCGUGAAGGAUUAAGGUCCUCUGGAUUGUAAACUUCUUUUAUAGGGGACGAAAAAGGGCAUUCUUGCUCACUUGACGGUACCCUAUGAAUAAGCACCGGCUAACUCCGUGCCAGCAGCCGCGGUAAUACGGAGGGUGCAAGCGUUAUCCGGAUUCACUGGGUUUAAAGGGUGCGUAGGCGGGCAGUUAAGUCAGUGGUGAAAUCUCCGAGCUCAACUCGGAAACUGCCAUUGAUACUAUCUGUCUUGAAUAUUGUGGAGGUAAGCGGAAUAUGUCAUGUAGCGGUGAAAUGCUUAGAUAUGACAUAGAACACCUAUUGCGAAGGCAGCUUACUACGCAUAUAUUGACGCUGAGGCACGAAAGCGUGGGGAUCAAACAGGAUUAGAUACCCUGGUAGUCCACGACCUAACGAUAGAUACUACGACAUACGACGACUACACUGUGUGUGUCUGAGCGAAGACAUUAAGUUAUCCCACCCGUCGGAGGUACGUCCGCGAGGAGUAGAAACGUUAAAGUAAGUUAGUACGGACGUGAGGACGUUGGCCGACGGACGACGACGAGGGGAGGUAGG
Molecule: ribosomal RNA, 631 nt
Filed under: uncultured bacterium
Lineage: Bacteria
Description: bacterial SSU rRNA
Rfam family: Bacterial small subunit ribosomal RNA (bases 1-537)
Source: RNAcentral